This 247-nucleotide ribosomal RNA is filed under the name uncultured bacterium. Its description in RNAcentral is "partial 16S ribosomal RNA". It matches the Rfam family "Bacterial small subunit ribosomal RNA", at positions 524 to 769 of the family's 1533-position model. The record is from RNAcentral.
UACAGAGGCCUCAAGCGUUAGGCGGAAUCACUGGGCUUAAAGCGUGUGUAGGCGGAUCGUUAAGUGCCUUGUGAAAUCCCACGGCUCAACCGUGGAACUGCUGGGCAUACUGCCGAUCUUGAGCCACUUAGGGGCAACCGGAACAAACGGUGGAGCGGUGAAAUGCGUAGAUAUCAGGAGGAACACCGAUGGCGAAGGCAGGUCGUCUGGGCUGACACUGACGCUCAUGCACGAAAGCGUGGGGAGC